GUAAAAGACAACUAUAACAGGGUGUACAGUGCUGUUUCUGAAAUUGACGAAUCCUCUUGUGAUGAAGAUUGAAGAAGCUAUUGCCAUCCAAGUGGAAAAAGUCCCGCCUUUGUCACCCUCGGCCUCCUCGAAUAGAACUAAGAAAAUGUGGAGACUUUCUUCAUUUAGUUCCCAAUCAAGUGGACCAGAUGUUGAUUUGUUUGAAAUGGACUGAGACUUGUGUUUCAUAUGCCAGGUUGAACAGACGUUAGAAACGAAAAAGGAUAGUCUGAUUCAAGGAAAAGAUAAAAGUUUCUUCGUCGAUUUCGCAACAUACUAUCUGUGGACAUCUACAGAAAUCGUCAGGAUCUGUGCAACAUCGAUGUUAAUCCUGAUUCGCACAUGAACAAGUGCCCUGUUCUUAACCCUGAGAGUCUCGGAAAAUAUCUCUAUAGCAAGCUAGGUAGAUAUCACAAAACGUGUCGUUUGAGGUACAGCAACUCGAGGGUGAAACAAUUGAAGGGUAAAU
Bolinopsis microptera is the source of this 508-nucleotide long non-coding RNA. RefSeq lists it as uncharacterized. The transcript has 3 exons. Lineage: Eukaryota; Metazoa; Ctenophora; Tentaculata; Lobata; Bolinopsidae. The record is from RefSeq and is a predicted model, not a curated record.